AACUGAAAAGUUCUCUAUGCAACAUCUAUUGCAGGUUGGUGUUUCUUACCUAUGCCUCUAUUAUUCUAGGAUUUUGGAAGUUAAUUGCUCAUGUGUGCUGAAUUGAAAAGCUCAAUGAAAGGCACUUAUUUCUAUGCACAAAUGCUUUUGUUGCUAUAAGAAUCUGUAGAGAAGAAAGCAUUUAGCACUGCUGCCCCUGCUGUACAUAAUUAGAGGAAUAGUUUGGUUCAGUUAGAGGAAUUGGUGUUUUUGGAUAGUGAUGUUUGGGCCAAUUCUGGGCUGAUCAGUCCAUAAUUUCAAGCCUCCAAAUAUAAGUUGUAGUGUAGGUCUCAAGCUUUCCAAAGAGUAUUUGUUUGUGCUUUUUGGCCAGCCAGUUUCAGAGCAGCCAUCAAUUUAAUGUGCUGUCCAGGAAGUUAUUAUCCUGAGCGCAGUUUUUUCAUUUGCCAGUUUAGGGCCUGUUAGAGGUUGAAUUAAAAUAAACUUUCAACAUGAAAGUUGUAGAUAUGUUUCUGUAGAUGCUUAUACACAUAUAAUUUGUCCAAAUUCCUCUUCUCUAUCGAAUCCUAUAAAAAUAUUAAAGGAGGUUGUACUAUGUUGGACAGAAUUUCAUUCUCAGUUUCAUCGGCGUCAGCUUCAUCACCAAGAGGACGGACUCCGGAAGGCAGCCUCAUCCUAAGGCGCCAGGACCGGUAACUCCCGAAACGUCCAUCCUUCCGAACAUUAUUUUCUGGUGAUGGACCGUUAGGGUUUGUGUUCAUUGACAUUUUGGAUUCAUAUGUGAAGUCUAUUUUUGUUAAUUACAGUUAAUUAAUUUCUUAAUUCAUGGUUGUUUUAGUUGCUGACCAUACGAUUGGUAGCCUUGGACAGAAGAGGGCCAGCAACAAACAGAAGCAACCACUGUCCUGUCCAGAACAUGUAUAUCUUCAGUUUUGGUUGCCUUCUGUUUACUUGCCAACAAGCGACAUUGAGCUCACAUAUUUACUGUUUGAUUUGUUAUAUACUUAAUCUGCUAGACGAAGUGUAAAAGGGAAAUUCAUGCUCGACAAUUUUGUAUAUUUAUAAACCUAGAUACUACUCUAAUUGGUUUUACUUCUUCCAUAUAUUUUCUCCUCCCAGUGUGUAUAAAUAGUGCACAAAGUUAAUUUCUUUUCCGUCUCCACCGCAUCUAAUUUUAAAGAAAAUAGAGAGGAAUCUGAGAGAUACACAACCAGAAGAAUUUUGUUUUUUUGAGUUUUCGACCGUGUCUAACUUUUGGUAAAAGAGAGAGGAAUUUGAGAUAGAUAGACAACCUGAGGAGCUUUGAACAACUUUGAACGUCCGAGUAUGCCGCCGGCCUCCUCGCCGCUGUUGUCGCGUGUCUGGCACCAGUGUGUGGCAGCUGCUGAGAUGUGCGCAGUUUACUCCCGGUUCCGUGAUGGUGUUGAAAAGCACCUUAACUGAGCCAAGGAAUUUAGUAGCUUUGUGGGAUGACUAAACAAAUUUUUUUGCUCUUCCUAUGCUAUCUUCUCAUAUUAUAAUUUUGGUGUCCUGGUAUGCAGGGAUCAGCUUUGGUGGCAUCCGAUGCUGCCAGACCACGGGGUUAGAGCAGAGGAAGCUGACAUGGUGUUCGACAUUCAGAUGGUCAUUGUGAUCGACCAGAUGCGGCGCCUCAUGUCACCCCGAGCCUCCAGGGCUUGUUAGCGGUGCUCAUAAA
RNAcentral lists this long non-coding RNA (1693 nucleotides) under Triticum aestivum (bread wheat). Its description in RNAcentral is "long non-coding RNA (TAES_LNC009609)". Lineage: Eukaryota; Viridiplantae; Streptophyta; Magnoliopsida; Poales; Poaceae. The record is from RNAcentral.